RNAcentral lists this transfer RNA (112 nucleotides) under Perca flavescens (yellow perch). It matches the Rfam family "tRNA". Rfam says of the family: Transfer RNA (tRNA) molecules are approximately 80 nucleotides in length. The record is from Rfam by way of RNAcentral. Lineage: Eukaryota; Metazoa; Chordata; Actinopteri; Perciformes; Percidae.
GGCAGGAUGGCCGAGUGGUGUAAGGCGCCAGACUCAAGGUUGCCUCCUUCCUGAACAAAAAGUGUCUUCUGGUCUCCAAAUGGAGGCGUGGGUUCAAAUCCCACUUCUGACA